This 253-nucleotide ribosomal RNA is filed under the name uncultured bacterium. RNAcentral describes it as "partial 16S ribosomal RNA". It matches the Rfam family "Bacterial small subunit ribosomal RNA", at positions 524 to 776 of the family's 1533-position model. The record is from RNAcentral.
UACAGAGGCCUCGAGCGUUGUUCGGAAUUACUGGGCGUAAAGGGAAUGUAGGUGGUGAUGUAAGUCAGAUGUGAAAGCCCUGGGCUUAACCUGGGAAGUGCAUUUGAUACUGCAUUGCUUGAGUGCGAGAGAGGAAAGCGGAAUUCCAGGUGUAGGAGUGAAAUCCGUAGAUAUCUGGAGGAAUACCGAUGGUGAAGACAGCUUUCUGGCUCGUAACUGACACUGAGAUUCGAAAGCUUGGGUAGCAAACAGG